AUUAAUAUUGAAGUUUUUAAUCAAGCAAGGAAGGGCUAAGUUCGAGUGCAACCGAAAAUUUUAUACUUUUUCAAUUUGCGACAAUCAAAUCCAGCGACAUAACUUAAGGUGUAAAAUUUCAACCAGAAGAUCGAAAUAUAAGCAGUUUAAUAUGUUGUGUCCGAUGAAGGAUGUGUGUUGAAAUGUUACGGGAUCAGAAUUCGCAUAAACAUCUCGACCCCCAGGCGAAUUAAUUGCCUAGAAGUUUCUGCAUACUUUGUAGUGUUCUUAAAACAGCGUCGAAUUCCGCUGGCUUGCGCAGCUGGUUGCGUUGACCAUGGUGUGGUGGAGGUGUCCGAAAGCAUGCACCUCGGUACUGCUUGGGUGGAUGGAUUCUUCUGCGUUCGACCUGCUCUCGUGUUGAUUGUGCCAAUGACUACGGUGCAUUGACGGAUUGGCUCGUCGAGAAGCAUGAAACAAUGUGUGAUGCGGUCGGUGGCAAUAUUAACAAGACCCGUAGGACAAACAAUCAAAAGUGGAAUGAGUGUCAGCAAGCAAGUCAUAUAGUGGCCGUGGGCUUUAGCGAUCUGUUGGCGUUCAGCGGGCUUCAAACUCCUGAAAUUCGUGCACCUCUUCAGGACGUGUGAUUGAUGGCAUAAGAUACAUCGUGGAGGCGAAUCAUCUUCAGCGAUUUUUUUCAUAAUUUUUUUUUUAUUAUUAUUUUACAUUGUACCUAGUAUGUAAAGAUAAAAUACCAAGAAUAA
This is a long non-coding RNA of Bactrocera latifrons, 743 nucleotides long. RefSeq lists it as uncharacterized. NCBI's taxonomy places the organism in Eukaryota, Metazoa, Arthropoda, Insecta, Diptera, Tephritidae. The transcript is spliced from 2 exons. The record is from RefSeq and is a predicted model, not a curated record.